GACGAACGCUGGCGGCGUGCUUAACACAUGCAAGUCACGGGGGCCCGCAAGGGCAACCGGCGAACGGGUGCGUAACACGUGAACAACCUGCCCUCGUGUGGGGGAUAGCCGGGCUAACGCCCGGGUAAUACCGCAUACGGUCAUCGGGAGGAGUCUCCUGGUGAAGAAAGCUCCGGCGCACGGGGAGGGGUUCGCGGCCUAUCAGCUAGUUGGUGCGGUAACGGCGCACCAAGGCGACGACGGGUAGCUGGUCUGAGAGGAUGGCCAGCCACAUUGGGACUGAGAGACGGCCCAGACUCCUACGGGAGGCAGCAGUGGGGAAUCUUGCGCAAUGGCCGAAAGGCUGACGCAGCGACGCCGCGUGUGGGAGGACGCCUUUC
This 380-nucleotide ribosomal RNA is filed under the name uncultured bacterium. RNAcentral's name for it is "bacterial SSU rRNA". It matches the Rfam family "Bacterial small subunit ribosomal RNA", at positions 28 to 419 of the family's 1533-position model. The record is from RNAcentral.